AUACGGAGGAUGCGAGCGUUAUCCGGAUUUAUUGGGUUUAAAGGGUGCGUAGGCUGUUUGGUAAGUCAGGGGUGAAAUGCCGUCGCUCAACGACGGAGCUGCCCUUGAUACUGCCGAGCUGGAGUACGGAUGCCGUUGGAGGAAUGAGUGGUGUAGCGGUGAAAUGCAUAGAUAUCACUCAGAACACCGAUUGCGAAGGCACGUGACGAAUCCGUCCAGGACGCGGGGGCACGAAGGGGUGGGAAAAGAAAAGGAUAAGAUCCCCUGGUAUUCCACGCCGUAAACGAUGAUGACUAACCGCCUGCGAUAUAGUGUAGGUGGCCAAGCGAAAGCGAUAAGUCAUCCACCUGGGGAGUACGACCGCAAGGUUGAAACUCAAAGGAAUUGACGGGG
RNAcentral lists this ribosomal RNA (393 nucleotides) under uncultured bacterium. RNAcentral describes it as "partial 16S ribosomal RNA". It matches the Rfam family "Bacterial small subunit ribosomal RNA", at positions 523 to 918 of the family's 1533-position model. The record is from RNAcentral.